Long non-coding RNA from Labrus mixtus (cuckoo wrasse), 364 nucleotides. RefSeq lists it as uncharacterized. NCBI's taxonomy places the organism in Eukaryota, Metazoa, Chordata, Actinopteri, Labriformes, Labridae. The record is from RefSeq and is a predicted model, not a curated record. The transcript has 3 exons.
UGGUUUCAGGACCAGGGCCUGUAUUUAGAGUGACUAUAGGACUGGUUUCAGGAGCAGGUCCUGUAUUUAGAGUGACUAUAGGACUGGUUCCAGGUCCAGGUCCUGUAUUUAGAGUGACUAUAGGACUAGUUCCAGGACCAGGUCCUGUAUUUAGAGUGACUAUAGGACUAGUUUCAGGACCAGGUCCUGUAUUCAGAGUGACUAUAGGACUGGUUCCAGGACCAGGUCCUGUAUUUAGAGUGACUAUAGGACUGGUUCCAGGUCCAGGUCCUGUAUUUAGAGUGACUAUAGGACUAGUUCCAGGACCAGGUCCUGUAUUUAGAGUGACUAUAGGACUAGUUUCAGGACCAGGUCCUGUAUUCAG